RNAcentral lists this ribosomal RNA (879 nucleotides) under uncultured Enterobacteriaceae bacterium. RNAcentral's name for it is "bacterial SSU rRNA". It matches the Rfam family "Bacterial small subunit ribosomal RNA". The record is from RNAcentral. Lineage: Bacteria; Pseudomonadati; Pseudomonadota; Gammaproteobacteria; Enterobacterales; Enterobacteriaceae.
GACGAACGCUGGCGGCGUGCUUAACACAUGCAAGUCGAACGUGAUUUUUAUGGAAUAGCCUUCGGGAUAGGAAAUAGAAUGAAAGUGGCGAACGGGUGAGUAACACGUGAGCAACCUACCUUACACAGGGGGAUAGCCGUUGGAAACGACGAUUAAUACCGCAUGAGACCACAGAACCGCAUGGUAAAGGGGUCAAAGAUUUAUCGGUGUAAGAUGGGCUCGCGUCUGAUUAGCUAGUUGGAAGGGUAAAGGCCUACCAAGGCGACGAUCAGUAGCCGGUCUGAGAGGAUGAACGGCCACAUUGGAACUGAGACACGGUCCAAACUCCUACGGGAGGCAGCAGUGGGGAAUAUUGCACAAUGGGGGAAACCCUGAUGCAGCGACGCCGCGUGAGCGAAGAAGGUUUUCGAAUCGUAAAGCCCUGUCCUAUGAGAAGAUAAUGACGGUAUCAUAGGAGGAAGCCCCGGCUAAAUACGUGCCAGCAGCCGCGGUAAUACGUAUGGGGCGAGCGUUGUCCGGAAUUAUUGGGCGUAAAGGGUACGUAGGCGGUCUAUUAAGUCAGGUGUGAAAGCGUGAGGCUUAACCUCAUUAAGCACUUGAAACUGAUAGACUUGAGUGAAGGAGAGGAAGGUGGAAUUCCUAGUGUAGCGGUGAAAUGCGUAGAUAUUAGGAGGAAUACCGGUGGCGAAAGCGACUUUCUGGACUUGUACUGACGCUCAGGGACUAAAGCGUGGGGAUUAACAGGAUUAAUUCCCCGGUAGUCCUAAGUCUAACUCCCUCAUUGAUAUCAAACUUAUUAAUUCCCCCCCACCCGCGCGGGGGCGAAGAAACACACAUCCUCUCCCCCAUGGUGUGGUUUAUAUAAAUAAGGUCUUCAGC